This 251-nucleotide ribosomal RNA is filed under the name uncultured Pseudomonas sp. RNAcentral's name for it is "partial 16S ribosomal RNA". It matches the Rfam family "Bacterial small subunit ribosomal RNA", at positions 1132 to 1382 of the family's 1533-position model. The record is from RNAcentral. Lineage: Bacteria; Pseudomonadati; Pseudomonadota; Gammaproteobacteria; Pseudomonadales; Pseudomonadaceae.
UGGGCACUCUAAGGAGACUGCCGGUGACAAACCGGAGGAAGGUGGGGAUGACGUCAAGUCAUCAUGGCCCUUACGGCCUGGGCUACACACGUGCUACAAUGGUCGGUACAAAGGGUUGCCAAGCCGCGAGGUGGAGCUAAUCCCAUAAAACCGAUCGUAGUCCGGAUCGCAGUCUGCAACUCGACUGCGUGAAGUCGGAAUCGCUAGUAAUCGUGAAUCAGAAUGUCACGGUGAAUACGUUCCCGGGCUUU